Molecule: ribosomal RNA, 492 nt
Filed under: uncultured bacterium
Lineage: Bacteria
Description: partial 16S ribosomal RNA
Rfam family: Bacterial small subunit ribosomal RNA
Source: RNAcentral
AACGAACGCUGGCGGUAGGCCUAACACAUGCAAGUCGAACGAGACCACCGGAAGAAGUUGCUCUUACGGGCGGCGCGUGGGGGAACGGGGACGAAGACACCGGAAACCUCUUUUUCGGGGGGGCUAACGUCGGGGAACGUACGCUAACAAAGGAUAUAUCCCCCGGGUGUAAGCCCGGGUUCUUCUGGCCUUUCGGGAGUGUAAAAGCCGAGCUCGGAUUAGCUAGAUGGCGGGGUAAAGGGCCACCAAGGCCACGAUCCGUAGCUGGUCUGAGAGGAUGAUCCGCCACACUGGAACUGAGACACGGUCCAGACUCCUACGGGAGGCAGCAGUGGGGAAUAUUGGACAAUGGGCGCAAGCCUGAUCCAGCCAUACCGCGUGGGUGAAGAAGGCCUUCGGGUUGUAAAGCCCUUUUGUUGGGAAAGAAAAGCAGCAGGUUAAUACCCCGCUGUUCUGACGGUACCCAAAGAAUAAGCACCGGCUAACUUCGUG